Molecule: long non-coding RNA, 448 nt
Filed under: Mus musculus (house mouse)
Lineage: Eukaryota; Metazoa; Chordata; Mammalia; Rodentia; Muridae
Description: long non-coding RNA chr11:79212795-79213243
Source: RNAcentral
AUGCCAUCCUGAGGAAGACCAGGAAACAUUCCGGAGCCACGUGAGCCACAGCGGUCAGGGUCCCAUAUGUAAGCACCACGAGCACCCAGAUGAUGCUGGAGGCACGAAUCACCACAGGAUCAACUUUGACAAAUAUCAUCAUCCAGGGUACUUUGGGAAAGUUGGUGUGAGGCAUGACCACUUCAAGAAGUUUCAUAGCUUCUGCCCAAUCGCCAACCUGGAUAAAUUGUGGGUGCUGGUCAGUGAGCAGACAUGGGUCAAUGCUACAAAACAAACAAACAAACAAGACAGCAGCUGCUCCCGUAUGUGGUGUCCAAUCAAUCCGGCAACUUGUUCUAGGAAAGGGAAAGCUCCCUAGGCAGCUGUCAUCAUGAAGGCCAAAUUCCUCGGCAGAAGAGCUGAAGAGAAGAUAAAGGAUGUUGGAGGUACCUGUGCUCUGGUGGCUUGA